UACAGAGGGGGCAAGCGUUGUUCGGAAUUACUGGGCGUAAAGGGCGCGUAGGUGGCCUUCUAAGUUGAACGUGAAAUCCCUGGGCUCAACCCAGGAACUGCGUCCAAGACUGGGAGGCUUGAAUCCGGGAGAGGGAUGCGGAAUUCCAGGUGUAGCGGUGAAAUGCGUAGAUAUCUGGGGGAACACCGGUGGCGAAGGCGGCAUCCUGGACCGGGAUUGACACUGAGGCGCGAAAGCCAGGGGAGCAAACGGG
This 253-nucleotide ribosomal RNA is filed under the name uncultured bacterium. RNAcentral describes it as "partial 16S ribosomal RNA". It matches the Rfam family "Bacterial small subunit ribosomal RNA", at positions 524 to 776 of the family's 1533-position model. The record is from RNAcentral.